UACGCAGGGUGCAAGCGUUAAUCGGAAUUACUGGGCGUAAAGCGUGCGCAGGCGGUUUUGUAAGUCUGUCGUGAAAUCCCCGGGCUCAACCUGGGAAUUGCGAUGGAGACUGCAAGGCUAGAAUCUGGCAGAGGGGGGUAGAAUUCCACGUGUAGCAGUGAAAUGCGUAGAGAUGUGGAGGAACACCGAUGGCGAAGGCAGCCCCCUGGGUCAAGAUUGACGCUCAUGCACGAAAGCGUGGGGAGCAAACAGG
Molecule: ribosomal RNA, 253 nt
Filed under: uncultured bacterium
Lineage: Bacteria
Description: partial 16S ribosomal RNA
Rfam family: Bacterial small subunit ribosomal RNA
Source: RNAcentral